This 1205-nucleotide ribosomal RNA is filed under the name uncultured bacterium. RNAcentral describes it as "partial 16S ribosomal RNA". The record is from RNAcentral.
ACCGGCUUUUUGGGAUUCGCUCCACCUUACGGUAUCGCAGCCCUCUGUACCGGCCAUUGUAGCAUGCGUGAAGCCCAAGACAUAAGGGGCAUGAUGAUUUGACGUCAUCCCCACCUUCCUCCGAGUUGACCCCGGCAGUCUCCCAUGAGUCCCCGGCAUAACCCGCUGGCAACAUAGGACGAGGGUUGCGCUCGUUGCGGGACUUAACCCAACAUCUCACGACACGAGCUGACGACAACCACGCACCACCUGUGUACGAGUGUCCAAAGAGAACCCCGUCUCGGGGGCUUUCUCGUACAUGUCAAGCCUUGGUAAGGUUCUUCGCGUUGCAUCGAAUUAAUCCGCAUGCUCCGCCGCUUGUGCGGGCCCCCGUCAAUUCCUUUGAGUUUUAGCCUUGCGGCCGUACUCCCCAGGCGGGGCACUUAAUGCGUUAGCUGCGGCACGGAACUCGUGGAAUGAGCCCCACACCUAGUGCCCAACGUUUACGGCAUGGACUACCAGGGUAUCUAAUCCUGUUCGCUCCCCAUGCUUUCGCUCCUCAGCGUCAGUUGCGGCCCAGAGACCUGCCUUCGCCAUCGGUGUUCCUCCUGAUAUCUGCGCAUUCCACCGCUACACCAGGAAUUCCAGUCUCCCCUACCGCACUCUAGUCUGCCCGUACCCGAUGCAAGCCCGAGGUUGAGCCUCGGGAUUUCACACCAGACGCGACAGACCGCCUACGAGCUCUUUACGCCCAAUAAUUCCGGACAACGCUUGCGCCCUACGUAUUACCGCGGCUGCUGGCACGUAGUUAGCCGGCGCUUCUUCUGCAGGUACCGUCACUUGCGCUUCUUCCCUGCUGAAAGAGGUUUACAACCCGAAGGCCGUCAUCCCUCACGCGGCGUCGCUGCAUCAGGCUUGCGCCCAUUGUGCAAUAUUCCCCACUGCUGCCUCCCGUAGGAGUCUGGGCCGUGUCUCAGUCCCAGUGUGGCCGGUCGCCCUCUCAGGCCGGCUACCCGUCGACGCCUUGGUAGGCCAUCACCCCACCAACAAGCUGAUAGGCCGCGAGCCCGUCCCCCACCGAAAAACUUUCCAACCCACACCAUGCGAUGCGAGCUCAUAUCCGGUAUUAGACCCCGUUUCCAAGGCUUAUCCCGAAGUGGAGGGCAGGUUGCUCACGUGUUACUCACCCGUUCGCCACUGAUCCACCCAGCAAGCUGGGCUUCACC